This is a long non-coding RNA of Leopardus geoffroyi (Geoffroy's cat), 1239 nucleotides long. RefSeq lists it as uncharacterized. The transcript is spliced from 3 exons. NCBI's taxonomy places the organism in Eukaryota, Metazoa, Chordata, Mammalia, Carnivora, Felidae. The record is from RefSeq and is a predicted model, not a curated record.
AGUUUCCUCUUCUGCGAGCCAGCACUCUUCAGAGCUGGGAAAUGAGAUCUAACCACUGGCUUUUUCUGGGCUUAUGUAUGGAUUCUUCCCUGUGAGGAUGGCAGAAAGGAACAGAAAUGGUUCCUGAAAAUGUGGGCAGGAGAGCAUCGUGGAUCCCUGAAGAAAAGCAGGGAAAUUGUUAAAAUGUCCAUUUUACAGAAGAGGAAUUCAUCCCAGGAUGCCAGAGCUGCCUUGAGUGGCACAUCUUGUUGAAGCAGCCCUUGGUUCAAGAUAGGUCAUUUGGAUUCUAGUGCCUGCUCUAUGAUACUCCUGAGCCUAGUGGGUUCUGGUUAUGAAGAACAUGAUGUUUUCAGAUUGAAGAGAAUUAAACACGAGACAUCAUCCUUCAUCUGAUGAAUACCGAACCAGAAUUCUCCAGUGCCAUACAGGGUUUAAGGAUAUUAUUUGGAUCUUGCUAUAAACCAACACAGGCUUCACCUAGGACCUGAACUAACAUAUUCUACCUUCUCACUAUAUCAACAUGUCAGUGUCUUGUUUAUUUUUUAAGCAUCUCUCAAAGGCCACCCCCUCCAAGAGGAUUAAAUGAUUUAAUAUAUGAAAAACACUCAAUCACACCUAGCACAUAUAUUUAAGACUUCAAUAUAUAUCAGCUAUUAUUGUUAUUGUCUUUUUAGUGGCUUUGAAUCUUUCACAUGGAGUUCUGUAAUGUGCACUCUACAGCUUAUUCCUUGGUGUGUUAAAGGCCCAACAACUACAUUUUUUUCCACAUGCCAUUGUCACUUGCAGCUGUGGUUUCGGAGAUGAUGGUUACGUUUGACUGCAACUAACUACUUGGUCCACAUCCCAUGCAUAUUGUUCAAGCAGUGACACAGAGAGGGAGAGAAUAGGAGAGAGAGUGCUGAAGUCAUCCACAAGGACCAUCUAUCUCCAAGUGCUCCCACAGUACCUCUAGCCAGUUGACCCCCAUGCUUAUGUUACAUCCCUCCCUCAAAGUGGCACAGUGGUCCAUGCUAUCUCUAGAAAAUUGUUUUAAAUUUUUCUCAAUUUGGAACAAAGUUUACCUUUGGGAAAUCCUUGGGGAUUUUCAUCCAGGUUUUUCAUUCUGUUCUCUAGGACCACAUGGAUCAAGUUUGUUCCGUCUUCUUUAAGACUACCCUUUAAUAUAGAGAGAAACUUAUUGCGGCUGAUUACUCUAGAACACAUUUGUAGAGCUAUGCCUUGUAUAAUGACUGACUUCAA